Molecule: long non-coding RNA, 647 nt
Filed under: Struthio camelus australis
Lineage: Eukaryota; Metazoa; Chordata; Aves; Struthioniformes; Struthionidae
Description: lncRNA (ENSSCUG00000010681.1)
Source: RNAcentral
AUUUAUGCUUCUUGUCUUCAUAACCCAUUGGCAGAAAAUAUGGUCCUUUGGAUUGGUUGGAGAUUUGAUUGUCCUCCCUCCUAGGUAUUGCUGGAGAAAAUAAAUAUAUGAGAAACGCUUUCCCACUUAAAACUGAUGAUUCAUGCUGCCAUUUCUUCUCAUUUUCUUUGUUUUGUCUCUUGGUGCCAAACAUAUACUAUACACCAGAAGGAAGGGGGAGGACAAAAGAAAGAUGAGAAACCCCAUUCUACAUAGAUUUGUGCAUUACAAUCACCUUCUAAAGAGAAUGAUGCAUUUCAACAGCUCCUUGUUCUGCCAGCCUUACAAAUGCUUCCAAAACCCUGCCAGCAGUGUGCUGUUUCAUUCAGUAUGUUUCACAUCGGAUUUGUGCUGCUGUCAAAGAGAAGCCAUUAUCUGAUUUGAAACAGGGAUGCUUGGCAAGACGUUUCGGGCAAUCCGGAUGGAUAUGUGUUUGCUUUUGCCCUACUUUCAUUCUACUCAGAAUUCGGAAUGAUAACCAUCUCACAGGUAGUGUGUUUCCAUUGUGUUAAAAAUGCCAUUGUAAAGUUACUUUCUAUUGUAACUUAUUAAAUAGUUAAUUGAUAUCAUGUAAUAAAAAGGAGCAAAAAACCCUCUGGUCCCUCUCA